UUAAAAUCAAAAUUACAACAACUCUAGUUCUACCACAAAACUUGUAAGAGAAAAUGGAGAAGGCAACAUUCCUUAAAGUUUUCUUGAUCUCCUUUUUGCUUAUGUUGUUUGGGCAAGAAAGCCAUGCGGUAGGAUGCGCUAAGGAUGGUGAUUGUGUUAGGGUUAAAUGCAUAGACACACAUUCCAAAUGUGACUCAGCAACACAUCAAUGCAUCUGUCCAAUUCCACCAAAUUAUGGAUCAAAAAGGGUUCACAAGACUGACCAUAACUAAUUUGCAAUAUUUGCUAUUCAUAUACAAAAUUGAAUCAUGAUUUAAGUAUUUCCUUUUCAUAUAUAUAUGGUUCAAUAAAUAAAAUUCCCUUUUUCAUAUUAA
Molecule: long non-coding RNA, 374 nt
Organism: Solanum pennellii
Lineage: Eukaryota; Viridiplantae; Streptophyta; Magnoliopsida; Solanales; Solanaceae
Exons: 2
Source: RefSeq, a predicted model, not a curated record